UUGUGAGGUUAAGCGACUAAGCGUACACGGUGGAUGCCCUGGCAGUCAGAGGCGAUGAAGGGCGUGCUAAUCUGCGAUAAGCGCCGGUAAGGUGAUAUGAACCGUUAUAACCGGCGAUACCCGAAUGGGGAAACCCAGUGUGAUUCGUCACACUAUCAUUAACUGAAUCCAUAGGUUAAUGAGGCGAACCGGGGGAACUGAAACAUCUAAGUACCCCGAGGAAAAGAAAUCAACCGAGAUUCCCCCAGUAGCGGCGAGCGAACGGGGAGGAGCCCAGAGCCUGAAUCAGCAUGUGUGUUAGUGGAAGCGUCUGGAAAGGCGCGCGAUACAGGGUGACAGCCCCGUACACAAAAGCGCAUGUGCUGUGAGCUCGAUGAGUAGGGCGGGACACGUGGUAUCCUGUCUGAAUAUGGGGGGACCAUCCUCCAAGGCUAAAUACUCCUGACUGACCGAUAGUGAACCAGUACCGUGAGGGAAAGGCGAAAAGAACCCCGGCGAGGGGAGUGAAAAAGAACCUGAAACCGUGUACGUACAAGCAGUGGGAGCAC
This 548-nucleotide ribosomal RNA is filed under the name Salmonella enterica subsp. enterica serovar 4,12:i:-. RNAcentral's name for it is "bacterial LSU rRNA". It matches the Rfam family "Bacterial large subunit ribosomal RNA", at positions 1 to 582 of the family's 2925-position model. Lineage: Bacteria; Pseudomonadati; Pseudomonadota; Gammaproteobacteria; Enterobacterales; Enterobacteriaceae. The record is from RNAcentral.